RNAcentral lists this ribosomal RNA (253 nucleotides) under uncultured bacterium. RNAcentral's name for it is "partial 16S ribosomal RNA". It matches the Rfam family "Bacterial small subunit ribosomal RNA", at positions 524 to 776 of the family's 1533-position model. The record is from RNAcentral.
UACGGAGGAUCCAAGCGUUAUCCGGAUUUAUUGGGUUUAAAGGGUGCGCAGGCGGCCCGGUAAGUUAGAGGUGAAAGCCCGUGGCUCAACCACGGAACUGCCUCUGAUACUGCCAGGCUAGAGAAUAGUUGCUGUGGGCGGAAUGUGUGGUGUAGCGGUGAAAUGCUUAGAGAUCACACAGAACACCGAUUGCGAAGGCAGCUCACAAAACUAUUUCUGACGCUCAGGCACGAAAGCGUGGGGAGCAAACAGG